RNAcentral lists this ribosomal RNA (301 nucleotides) under uncultured soil bacterium. RNAcentral describes it as "bacterial SSU rRNA". It matches the Rfam family "Bacterial small subunit ribosomal RNA", at positions 150 to 478 of the family's 1533-position model. The record is from RNAcentral.
GGGGAAACCGGGGGUAAUUACGGCAUAAGUUCGGAGGAGGAGAAAGGAAGCAAAUUCGCUGGAGGAGGAGUCCGCGGCCGAUUAGUUUGUUGGUAGGGUAACGGCCUACCAAGACUAAGAUCGGUAGCCGGCCUGAGAGGGCACACGGCCACACUGGCACUGAAACACGGGCCAGACACCUACGGGAGGCAGCAGUGGGGAAACUUGCACAAUGGGGGCAACCCUGAUGCAGCGACGCCGCGUGAGCGAUGAAGCCCUUCGGGGUGUAAAGCACUUUCGGCAGGGAAGAUAGUGACGGUAC